UUAAAAAGUCCAUGGCACCUGAGAUAAACCUCAAAGGAUGAGUGAAGGGAAAGAAGAAAACAUUUUUUCUUAAUUUCUUCAUAUAUCAACUAUCACUCCUUUAAGCUGUAAGCUCAGCAGGGAAGGACAGUCUGUUGUCCAGUUUUAUCCCCAGUGCCUGGCACACAGCAAGUGCUCAAUAAACAUCUGUUGAAAUAAAUAAAAGAAGCAAGCAGAUUUGAGAAUGUUUGACUAAGAGGUAUUUUGUUGGAUUAAAACAAUUAUUUUCAAAUGUUUGUUUUUCAGCAAAAGAGAUUUUUUCUCCCCAAAUGAAAUCUUACCCAGAAUAUGUGAGAUUGAUUUGAAUCAGUGCCACUUGUGGAAGCACUAGCUGAAGGCUCACACCAUGUGCUCUCCACAGGCCCUUGGCAGCCCCCUUCCAUUAGGGAGCAUGGUACUGUGACCCUGGUCUACCAGGCACAGCAACAGCAUGCACUAGAAUCCCAGCUACUCCC
This 494-nucleotide long non-coding RNA is filed under the name Marmota monax (woodchuck). The record is from RNAcentral. Lineage: Eukaryota; Metazoa; Chordata; Mammalia; Rodentia; Sciuridae.